Molecule: ribosomal RNA, 480 nt
Filed under: uncultured bacterium
Lineage: Bacteria
Description: partial 16S ribosomal RNA
Rfam family: Bacterial small subunit ribosomal RNA
Source: RNAcentral
GACGAACGCUGGCGGCGUGCUUAACACAUGCAAGUCGAGCGAUGAAGCACCUUCGGGUGUGGAUUAGCGGCGAACGGGUGAGGAACACGUGAGGAAUCUGCCUUCCACUCUGGGAUAACUCCGGGAAACCGGGGCUAAUACCGGAUAUUUUCAACUGGCGGCAUCGCCGGUUGAAGAAAGUUUUUCGGUGGAAGAUGAUCUCGCGGCCUAUCAGCUUGUUGGUGAGGUGAAGGCGCACCAAGGCGACGACGGGUAGCCGGCCUGAGAGGGUGACCGGCCACACUGGGACUGAGACACGGCCCAGACUACUACGGGAGGCAGCAGUGGGGAAUAUUGGGCAAUGGAGGAAACUCUGACCCAGCGACGCCGCGUGAGGGAUGAAGGCCUUCGGGUUGUAAACCUCUUUCAGCAGGGAAUAAGCGAAAGUGAAGGUACCUGCAGAAGAAGCACCGGCUAACUAUGUGCCAGCAGCCGCAGUAA